GGAGAAUGCUUACCUAUACUUGGACCGGCGUCUUCAGAGAUCUUGUCGCAGCUGUUGUGGCGGAUGCAAUGGAUUGGCCAACCUACGAACCGGUGUGUCCGCGCCUAACUGCUGAUCACUUGGCUGGCUUGAGGCAAGAAUUGGAACAGGCUGGCCGCUUGCAUGUCGUCUACUGGAUCUCUGCAUUUGCAGUGAACCUCCAUAGUUCAGUCUGCAAGCAGCCCGAGUACGAUUGCAU
RNAcentral lists this non-coding RNA (238 nucleotides) under Scrippsiella trochoidea. Lineage: Eukaryota; Dinophyceae; Peridiniales; Peridiniaceae. The record is from RNAcentral.